AUUGAACGCUGGCGGCAUGCUUUACACAUGCAAGUCGAACGGCAGCGCGGGCUUCGGCCUGGCGGCGAGUGGCGAACGGGUGAGUAAUGCAUCGGAACGUGCCCAGUAGUGGGGGAUAGCCCGGCGAAAGCCGGAUUAAUACCGCAUACGACCUGAGGGUGAAAGCGGGGGACCGAAAGGCCUCGCGCUAUUGGAGCGGCCGAUGUCGGAUUAGCUAGUUGGUGGGGUAAAGGCUUACCAAGGCGACGAUCCGUAGCUGGUCUGAGAGGACGACCAGCCACACUGGGACUGAGACACGGCCCAGACUCCUACGGGAGGCAGCAGUGGGGAAUUUUGGACAAUGGGGGCAACCCUGAUCCAGCCAUGCCGCGUGCGGGAAGAAGGCCUUCGGGUUGUAAAACGCUUUUGUUAGGGAAGAAAAAAUCUGGGCUAAUACCCCGGGGGGAUGACGGUACCGGAAGAAUAAGCACCGGCUAACUACGUG
RNAcentral lists this ribosomal RNA (484 nucleotides) under uncultured bacterium. RNAcentral's name for it is "partial 16S ribosomal RNA". It matches the Rfam family "Bacterial small subunit ribosomal RNA", at positions 29 to 507 of the family's 1533-position model. The record is from RNAcentral.